GCGUAACGCGUGGGAAUCUGCGUAACGCGUGGGAAUCUGCGUAACGCGUGGGAAUCUGGCGUAACGCGUGGGAAUCUGCGUAACGCGUGGGAAUCUGCGUAACGCGUGGGAAUCUGCGUAACGCGUGGGAAUCUGUGUUGGAAGGCCUUAGGGUUGUAAGAUGCGUAACGCGUGGGAAUCUGCGUAACGCGUGGGAAUCUGGCGAACGCGUGGGAAUCUGCGUAACGCGUGGGAAUCUGUGUUGGAGUGGAAGGCCUUAGGGUUGUAA
RNAcentral lists this ribosomal RNA (268 nucleotides) under uncultured Sphingomonas sp. Its description in RNAcentral is "partial 16S rRNA". Lineage: Bacteria; Pseudomonadati; Pseudomonadota; Alphaproteobacteria; Sphingomonadales; Sphingomonadaceae. The record is from RNAcentral.